RNAcentral lists this transfer RNA (64 nucleotides) under Ixodes hirsti. RNAcentral's name for it is "tRNA-Ser". The record is from RNAcentral. Lineage: Eukaryota; Metazoa; Arthropoda; Arachnida; Ixodida; Ixodidae.
GAUUAUUUAACUAUAAUAAGUAUAUAUUUUGAAAAUAUAAAAAAGAAAAUUUUUCUAAUAAUCU